AUGUUUGAUGUUCUAACGUGGACCCGUAAUCCGGGUUGCGGACAGUGUCUGGUGGGUAGUUUGACUGGGGCGGUCUCCUCCUAAAGAGUAACGGAGGAGCACGAAGGUUGGCUAAUCCUGGUCGGACAUCAGGAGGUUAGUGCAAUGGCAUAAGCCAGCUUGACUGCGAGCGUGACGGCGCGAGCAGGUGCGAAAGCAGGUCAUAGUGAUCCGGUGGUUCUGAAUGGAAGGGCCAUCGCUCAACGGAUAAAAGGUACUCCGGGGAUAACAGGCUGAUACCGCCCAAGAGUUCAUAUCGACGGCGGUGUUUGGCACCUCGAUGUCGGCUCAUCACAUCCUGGGGCUGAAGUAGGUCCCAAGGGUAUGGCUGUUCGCCAUUUAAAGUGGUACGCGAGCUGGGUUUAGAACGUCGUGAGACAGUUCGGUCCCUAUCUGCCGUGGGCGCUGGAGAACUGAGGGGGGCUGCUCCUAGUACGAGAGGACCGGAGUGGACGCAUCACUGGUGUUCGGGUUGUCAUGCCAAUGGCACUGCCCGGUAGCUAAAUGCGGAAGAGAUAAGUGCUGAAAGCAUCUAAGCACGAAACUUGCCCCGAGAUGAGUUCUCCCUGAGACUUUAGGUCUCCUGAAGGAACGUUGAAGACGACGACGUUGAUAGGUCGGGUGUGUAAGUGUAGCGAUACAUUGAGCUAACCGAUACUAAUGAACCGUGAGGCUUAACCUU
This 721-nucleotide ribosomal RNA is filed under the name Salmonella enterica. RNAcentral describes it as "partial 23S ribosomal RNA". It matches the Rfam family "Bacterial large subunit ribosomal RNA", at positions 2210 to 2925 of the family's 2925-position model. RNAcentral also lists the same sequence under 1 other name. The record is from RNAcentral. Lineage: Bacteria; Pseudomonadati; Pseudomonadota; Gammaproteobacteria; Enterobacterales; Enterobacteriaceae.